Molecule: ribosomal RNA, 466 nt
Filed under: Pseudomonas sp.
Lineage: Bacteria; Pseudomonadati; Pseudomonadota; Gammaproteobacteria; Pseudomonadales; Pseudomonadaceae
Description: bacterial SSU rRNA
Rfam family: Bacterial small subunit ribosomal RNA
Source: RNAcentral
UGCAAGUCCGAAGCGGUAGAAGAAGAAGCUUGCCUUCCUCCUUGAGAAGCGGCGGACGGGUGAGUAAUGCCUAGGAAUCUGCCUGGUAGUGGGGGAUAACGUUCGGAAACGGACGCUAAUACCGCAUACGUCCUACGGGAGAAAGCAGGGGACCUUCGGGCCUUGCGCUAUCAGAUGAGCCUAGGUCGGAUUAGCUAGUUGGUGGGGUAAUGGCUCACCAAGGCGACGAUCCGUAACUGGUCUGAGAGGAUGAUCAGUCACACUGGAACUGAGACACGGUCCAGACUCCUACGGGAGGCAGCAGUGGGGAAUAUUGGACAAUGGGCGAAAGCCUGAUCCAGCCAUGCCGCGUGUGUGAAGAAGGUCUUCGGAUUGUAAAGCACUUUAAGUUGGGAGGAAGGGCAGUUACCUAAUACGUGAUUGUUUUGACGUUACCGACAGAAUAAGCACCGGCUAACUCUGUGCC